AUUGAACGCUGGCGGCAGGCCUAACACAUGCAAGUCGAGCGGAUGAGGAGUGCUUGCACUCCGAUUCAGCGGCGGACGGGUGAGUAAUGCCUAGGAAUCUGCCUAUUAGUGGGGGAUAACGUUCCGAAAGGAACGCUAAUACCGCAUACGUCCUACGGGAGAAAGUGGGGGAUCUUCGGACCUCACGCUAAUAGAUGAGCCUAGGUCGGAUUAGCUAGUUGGUGGGGUAACGGCUCACCAAGGCGACGAUCCGUAGCUGGUCUGAGAGGAUGAUCAGCCACACUGGGACUGAGAUACGGCCCAGACUCCUACGGGAGGCAGCAGUGGGGAAUAUUGGACAAUGGGCGAAAGCCUGAUCCAGCAAUGCCGCGUGAGUGAAGAAGGUCUUCGGAUUGUAAAGCACUUUAAGUCGGGAGGAAGGGCUGUAGGCUAAUACCUUGCAGUUUUGACGUUACCGACAGAAUAAGCACCGGCUAACUUCGUGCCAGCCGCCGCGGUAA
RNAcentral lists this ribosomal RNA (500 nucleotides) under uncultured bacterium. RNAcentral's name for it is "partial 16S ribosomal RNA". It matches the Rfam family "Bacterial small subunit ribosomal RNA", at positions 30 to 523 of the family's 1533-position model. The record is from RNAcentral.